Molecule: ribosomal RNA, 301 nt
Filed under: uncultured bacterium
Lineage: Bacteria
Description: partial 16S ribosomal RNA
Rfam family: Bacterial small subunit ribosomal RNA
Source: RNAcentral
CAGCAGCCGCGGUAAUACGUAGGUGGCAAGCGUUGUCCGGAAUUAUUGGGCGUAAAGGGCUCGCAGGCGGCUUCUUAAGUCUGAUGUGAAAGCCCCGGUUCAACCGGGGAGGGUCAUUGGAAACUGGGAAACUUGAGUGCAGAAGAGGAGAGUGGAAUUCCACGUGUAGCGGUGAAAUGUGUAGAGAUGUGGAGGAACACCAGUGGCGAAGGCGACUCUCUGGUCUGUAACUGACGCUGAGGAGCGAAAGCGUGGGGAGCGAACAGGAUUAGAUACCCGGGUAGUCCCUGUCUCUUAUACC